Molecule: ribosomal RNA, 540 nt
Filed under: fungal sp. E15230K
Lineage: Eukaryota; Fungi
Description: eukaryotic LSU rRNA
Rfam family: 5.8S ribosomal RNA (bases 170-323)
Source: RNAcentral
GAACCUGCGGAGGGAUCAUUACCGAGUUUACAACUCCCAAACCCCUGUGAACAUACCAAUUGUUGCCUCGGCGGAUCAGCCCGCUCCCGGUAAAACGGGACGGCCCGCCAGAGGACCCCUAAACUCUGUUUCUAUAUGUAACUUCUGAGUAAAACCAUAAAUAAAUCAAAACUUUCAACAACGGAUCUCUUGGUUCUGGCAUCGAUGAAGAACGCAGCAAAAUGCGAUAAGUAAUGUGAAUUGCAGAAUUCAGUGAAUCAUCGAAUCUUUGAACGCACAUUGCGCCCGCCAGUAUUCUGGCGGGCAUGCCUGUUCGAGCGUCAUUUCAACCCUCAAGCCCUCGGGUUUGGUGUUGGGGAUCGGCGAGCCCUUGCGGCAAGCCGGCCCCGAAAUCUAGUGGCGGUCUCGCUGCAGCUUCCAUUGCGUAGUAGUAAAACCCUCGCAACUGGUACGCGGCGCGGCCAAGCCGUUAAACCCCCAACUUCUGAAUGUUGACCUCGGAUCAGGUAGGAAUACCCGCUGAACUUAAGCAUAUCAAUA